CUGGACAGGUCACGGUCCCACGGAAAAUACAACUGACCGUGCAGCCACUGAAGAAGCUACGGCAGUAAUGAGCACCUCUGGGGCACACUGAAGGAGGAUUCUAUACCCUCGGGAGAUUGCGGCAUCGUUCUGCUGGUUCAUCCAAGUAUUAAGCUGAUGCAGGCUGUGCAUUAGCAACGCCAUUCCAAACAGGAGUCACAUCCUCCUGCUUAUACUUACAGUGGAUGCUCCUCGGACACAGUGAGCGCAAGGUGGACGAACCUGAACUUGGAUCUACCCAUCGUCGGAAUAACAUCGCCGAGACUUCUCACGAUAGAUCCUCUAUGUCAG
Lethenteron reissneri (Far Eastern brook lamprey) is the source of this 330-nucleotide long non-coding RNA. RefSeq lists it as uncharacterized. NCBI's taxonomy places the organism in Eukaryota, Metazoa, Chordata, Hyperoartia, Petromyzontiformes, Petromyzontidae. The record is from RefSeq and is a predicted model, not a curated record.